UUUUAAAGAAAUAAAUUAAUUUACUCUUUAAAAUUUUAUUUCUAAUGGCAUACCUAUGUAAUUACUUACAAAAAAUAAGGUUAUAUUUAAAAUGUACUUUCCAAAUAAUAUAGUAGAAUGAGUUUCUUAACCGUUAUUUAAAUAUGAGAU
Molecule: small RNA, 150 nt
Filed under: Arabidopsis thaliana (thale cress)
Lineage: Eukaryota; Viridiplantae; Streptophyta; Magnoliopsida; Brassicales; Brassicaceae
Description: ATSL148930
Source: RNAcentral